RNAcentral lists this long non-coding RNA (390 nucleotides) under Ananas comosus (pineapple). RNAcentral describes it as "long non-coding RNA (ACOM_LNC002390)". The record is from RNAcentral. Lineage: Eukaryota; Viridiplantae; Streptophyta; Magnoliopsida; Poales; Bromeliaceae.
GUUUUGGUAAGUAUAAGACCAUGUGUACGAAACGACCAAUUUUCUUUAUUUAGGCUGGUACGAGUAUAAGUAAAAACUAGUUGUUACCAUGGUUAGUUAAUUUGUGAAUUAUUAGCGAAUUAUUCGCGAAUUUUUGAAGAAACGAAUUAAACAGUAAUAUCCGUAUUUUUCCGAAAAAUUUAAAAAUAAAAUUUUUUUUUUCAUCAAAAGUAUGGGUGGUUAUAAAAAGAAAAUAAUGAUAUCUCGCUGUAGUGUCCCUGGUGUGUGGCUGCCUUUGUGACUUCAGUAUAUGUGGCUUGUCGACAUAUCUGGUGAGUUUCGAGACAAGUCGGAGUCGUUUUGGCGUAAAAUGGACGCAAAACGGACUCGGCGCAGAGCGAGAAUGGAGAG